This is a long non-coding RNA of Haliotis rubra (blacklip abalone), 327 nucleotides long. RefSeq lists it as uncharacterized. NCBI's taxonomy places the organism in Eukaryota, Metazoa, Mollusca, Gastropoda, Lepetellida, Haliotidae. The transcript has 3 exons. The record is from RefSeq and is a predicted model, not a curated record.
CAGACGACCGCUUGACUUUCUGUUCCCAAGCAGUAGACUCGGGAACAAGUUUACUGGAUUUUCCAGACAACAGUCUGGAGUUUUCAGAAAGCCAGACACGUGGCAGUGACUUGAAUCAGGGAAUAGCUCCAGUUCCAUCCACCUCAACCCACCAAGUGAGGCCAAGCCAACCUAUUCUGAUUGAAUCUACUGAGAGUUCCAGCAGUCCCUCUCUCAUCUCGAAGAAGAGCCGAAGAAAAAAGAGUAGAAGUUCUUUUCCUGUUCUUCAGCCCGACGGUACCUGUCUUCAGCGUGCUCUUAGUCAAAUAUUAUGAACAAAUGGUGAUU